CGGGCGGGGCGGGGGCACGGGGGGCCUACGGGAGGCAGCAGUAGGGAAUCUUCCACAAUGGGCGAAAGCCUGAUGGAGCAACGCCGCGUGAGUGAAGAAGGAUUUCGGUUCGUAAAAACUCUGUUGUAAGGGAAGAACAAGUACAGUAGUAACUGGCUGUACCUGACGGUACCUUAUGAAAGCAC
RNAcentral lists this ribosomal RNA (185 nucleotides) under sludge granule bacterium 9. RNAcentral's name for it is "partial 16S ribosomal RNA". It matches the Rfam family "Bacterial small subunit ribosomal RNA", at positions 315 to 493 of the family's 1533-position model. The record is from RNAcentral.